AGAGUUUGAUCCUGGCUCAGGAUGAACGCUAGCGGUGUGCUUUAUGCAUGCAAGUCGUACGAUUUUAGCUUGCUAAAAUAGUGGCGGACGGGUGAGUAACACGUAAGUAAUCCACCCUCAAGUUGGGGACAACCUUGGGAAACCGGGGCUAAUACCGAAUGUGAUGGUUUGACAUAAGUCAGAUUAUUAAAGCAGUAAUGCGCUUGAGGAGGAGCUUGCGGUCGAUUAGCUAGUUGGUAGGGUAAAAGCUUACCAAGGCUACGAUCGAUAGCUGGUCUGAGAGGACGAUCAGCCACACUGGGACUGAGACACGGCCCAGACUCCUACGGGAGGCAGCAGCAAGGAAUUUUGGGCAAUGGGCGAAAGCCUGACCCAGCAACACCGCGUGGGGGAUGACGGCCUUCGGGUUGUAAACCCCUUUUACUAGGGAAGAAUAAAAUGACGGUACCUAGUGAAUAAGCCCCGGCUAACUACGUGCCAGCAGCCGCGGUAAGACGUAGGGGGCAAGCGUUAUCCGGAUUUAUUGGGCGUAAAGAGAGCGUAGGCGGCUUUUCAAGUCGGAUGUGAAAUUUCCCAGUUUAACUGGGAGGGGUCAUUCGAUACUGUUAGGCUUGAGUGCAGCAGGGGGAAACGGAAUUCCCGGUGUAGUGGUGGAAUGUGUAGAUAUCGGGAGGAACACCAGAGGCGAAAGCGGUUUCCAAGGCUGUUACUGACGCUGAGGCUCGAAAGCGUGGGGAGCAAACAGGCUUAGAUACCCUGGUAGUCCACGCCAUAAACGAUGGAUACUAGGUAUAGGGAGUAUCGACCCUCUCUGUGCCGAAGCUAACGCUUUAAGUAUCCCGCCUGGGGAGUACGGUCGCAAGAUUAAAACUCAAAGGAAUUGACGG
RNAcentral lists this ribosomal RNA (887 nucleotides) under uncultured bacterium. RNAcentral's name for it is "bacterial SSU rRNA". It matches the Rfam family "Bacterial small subunit ribosomal RNA", at positions 8 to 916 of the family's 1533-position model. The record is from RNAcentral.